Long non-coding RNA from Hydractinia symbiolongicarpus, 639 nucleotides. RefSeq lists it as uncharacterized. The transcript has 3 exons. Lineage: Eukaryota; Metazoa; Cnidaria; Hydrozoa; Anthoathecata; Hydractiniidae. The record is from RefSeq and is a predicted model, not a curated record.
UCAAAAGUCAUUUUACAUCGAGCCAUGGCCUUACAACACCGUCAACUACGAGUACAGGUCUCUCAAUGCGGUUAUAUGGACUUUUCCCGCCCAAUAAAGACCUUAUACGUUAAACACGUGGAUGCAUGAGUUAGCACAGACAACCAUCGGUCAAUUCCUUCCACACUAAAUAGUCUACGUUGUCCAAAGUAGUUUUUCAUUGUGCUACAGCCUUACAAAACCGUCAACUGCGCGCACAGGCCUCUAAAGGCUGUUAUAUGGCCUUUUAAUGCUUAGUAAAGGUCUUACAUGUGAAUCACAUAGUUGCACGUGCCUGCGCAGGUUACCAUCGGUCUAUUCCUUCCACACUCAUUGGACUACGACGUCCCAAAUCGUUUUUCAAUGCGCCAUAGACUUACAACACCGCCAACAACGUGUACAGGCCUCUAAAGGCCGGUAUAUGUCCUUUUGACGCCUAAAAAGGUCUUACAUGUGAAUCACAUAGUUGCACGUGCCUGCGCAGGUUACCAUCGGUCUAUUCCUUCCACACUCAUUGGACUACGACGUCCCAAAUCGUUUUUCAAUGCGCCAUAGACUUACAACACCGCCAACAACGUGUACAGGCCUCUAAAUGCCGGUAUAUGUCCUUUUGACGCCUAA